UAGUGGCAGACGGGUGAGUAAUGCGUAGGAAUCUACCUAGUAGUACGGAAUAGCCAUUAGAAAUGGUGGGUAAUACUGUAUAAUCCCCGAGGGGGAAAGAUUUAUCGCUAUUAGAUGAGCCUACGUUAGAUUAGCUAGUUGGUGAGGUAAUGGCUUACCAAGGCUAUGAUCUAUAGCUGGUCUGAGAGGACGAUCAGCCACACUGGAACUGAGAUACGGUCCAGACUCCUACGGGAGGCAGCAGUGGGGAAUAUUGGACAAUGGGCGAAAGCCUGAUCCAGCUAUGCCGCGUGAGUGAAGAAGGCCUUCGGGUUGUAAAACUCUUUCAAUAGGGAAGAUAAUU
This 343-nucleotide ribosomal RNA is filed under the name Ehrlichia canis. Its description in RNAcentral is "bacterial SSU rRNA". It matches the Rfam family "Bacterial small subunit ribosomal RNA", at positions 93 to 453 of the family's 1533-position model. Lineage: Bacteria; Pseudomonadati; Pseudomonadota; Alphaproteobacteria; Rickettsiales; Anaplasmataceae. The record is from RNAcentral.